GUGGGGAAUAUUGGACAAUGGGGGGAACCCUGAUCCAACCAUGCCGCGUGUGUGAAGAAGGCCUUUUGGUUGUAAAGCACUUUAAGCGAGGAGGAGGCUACCGAGAUUAAUACUCUUGGAUAGUGGACGUUACUCGCAGAAUAAGCACCGGCUAACUCUGUGCCAGCAGCCGCGGUAAUACAGAGGGUGCAAGCGUUAAUCGGAUUUACUGGGCGUAAAGCGCGCGUAGGUGGCCAAUUAAGUCAAAUGUGAAAUCCCCGAGCUUAACUUGGGAAUUACAUUCGAUACUGGUUGGCUAGAGUAUGGGAGAGGAUGGUAGAAUUCCAGGUGUAGCGGUGAAAUGCGUAGAGAUCUGGAGGAAUACCGAUGGCGAAGGCAGCCAUCUGGCCUAAUACUGACACUGAGGUGCGAAAGCAUGGGGAGCAAACAGGAUUAGAUACCCUGGUAGUCC
RNAcentral lists this ribosomal RNA (451 nucleotides) under uncultured bacterium. Its description in RNAcentral is "partial 16S ribosomal RNA". It matches the Rfam family "Bacterial small subunit ribosomal RNA", at positions 354 to 796 of the family's 1533-position model. The record is from RNAcentral.